RNAcentral lists this ribosomal RNA (907 nucleotides) under marine metagenome. RNAcentral's name for it is "bacterial SSU rRNA". It matches the Rfam family "Bacterial small subunit ribosomal RNA", at positions 602 to 1520 of the family's 1533-position model. The record is from RNAcentral.
CCAGAGCUUAACUCUGGAACUGCCAUCAAAACUUUUUAGCUAGAGUAUGAUAGAGGAAAGCAGAAUUUCUAGUGUAGAGGUGAAAUUCGUAGAUAUUAGAAAGAAUACCAAUUGCGAAGGCAGCUUUCUGGAUCAUUACUGACACUGAGGAACGAAAGCAUGGGUAGCGAAGAGGAUUAGAUACCCUCGUAGUCCAUGCCGUAAACGAUGUGUGUUAGACGUUGGAAAUUUAUUUUCUGUGUCGCAGCGAAAGCAAUAAACACACCGCCUGGGGAGUACGACCGCAAGGUUAAAACUCAAAUGAAUUGACGGGGACCCGCACAAGUAGUGGAGCAUGUGGUUUAAUUCGAAGAUACGCGCAGAACCUUACCAACACUUGACAUGUUCGUCGCGACUUUAAGAGAUUAAAGUUUUCGGUUCGGCCGGACGAAACACAGGUGCUGCAUGGCUGUCGUCAGCUCGUGUCGUGAGAUGUUGGGUUAAGUCCCGCAACGAGCGCAACCCUCACUUUUAGUUGCCAUCAUUUAGUUGGGCACUCUGAAAGAACUGCCAGUGAUAAGCUGGAGGAAGGUGGGGAUGACGUCAAGUCCUCAUGGCCCUUACGUGUUGGGCUACACACGUGCUACAAUGGCAUUUACAAUAGGAAGCAAGACGGCGACGUUAAGCAAAUCCUAAAAAAAUGCCUCAGUUCGGAUUGUACUCUGCAACUCGAGUACAUGAAGCUGGAAUUACUAGUAAUCGCGGAUCAGCGCGCCGCGGUGAAUACGUUCCCGGGUCUUGUACACACCGCCCGUCACACCAUGGGAGUUGGUUCUACCUUAAGGCAAAGUUUAAUACCUUUGACCACGGUAUAGUCAGCGACUGGGGUGAAGUCGUAACAAGGUAGCCGUAGGGGAACCUGCGGCUG